RNAcentral lists this ribosomal RNA (454 nucleotides) under uncultured Alphaproteobacteria bacterium. RNAcentral describes it as "bacterial SSU rRNA". It matches the Rfam family "Bacterial small subunit ribosomal RNA", at positions 9 to 511 of the family's 1533-position model. Lineage: Bacteria; Pseudomonadati; Pseudomonadota; Alphaproteobacteria. The record is from RNAcentral.
GAGUUUGAUCGUGGCUCAGAACGAACGCUGGCGGCAGGCUUAAGACAUGCAAGUCGAACGCCCCGCAAGGGGAGUGGCAGACGGGUGAGUAACGCGUGGGAACAUGCCCCGAGGUACGGAACAACUCCGGGAAACUGGAGCUAAUACCGUAUGUGACCGAGAGGUGAAAGAUUUAUCGCCUUGGGAUUGGCCCGCGUUAGAUUAGCUAGUUGGUGGGGUAAUGGCCUACCAAGGCGACGAUCUAUAGCUGUUCUGAGAGGAAGAUCAGCCACACUGGGACUGAGACACGGCCCAGACUCCUACGGGAGGCAGCAGUCGGGAAUCUUGGACAAUGGGCGCAAGCCUGAUCCAGCCAUGCCGCGUGAAUGAUGAAGGCCUUAGGGUUGUAAAAUUCUUUCGCAGGGGACGAUAGUGACGGUACCCUGAUAAGAAGCUCCGGCUAACUUCGUGCCAG